Molecule: ribosomal RNA, 446 nt
Filed under: uncultured bacterium
Lineage: Bacteria
Description: bacterial SSU rRNA
Rfam family: Bacterial small subunit ribosomal RNA
Source: RNAcentral
AGCGAACGCUGGCGGCAGGCCUAAUACAUGCAAGUCGAACGGAUCCUUCGGGAUUAGUGGCGGACGGGUGAGUAACACGUGGGAACGUGCCCUUUGGUUCGGAACAACUCAGGGAAACUUGAGCUAAUACCGGAUAAGCCCUUCGGGGAAGAUUAUCGCCAUUGGAGCGGCCCGCGUCUGAUUAGCUAGUUGGUGGGGUAAAGGCCUACCAAGGCGACGAUCAGUAGCUGGUCUGAGAGGAUGAUCAGCCACACUGGGACUGAGACACGGCCCAGACUCCUACGGGAGGCAGCAGUAGGGAAUCUUGCGCAAUGGGCGAAAGCCUGACGCAGCCAUGCCGCGUGAAUGAUGAAGGUCUUAGGAUUGUAAAAUUCUUUCAGCGGGGACGAUAAUGACGGUACCGCAGAAGAAGCCCCGGCUAACUUCGUGCCAGCAGCCGCAGUAAC